UACGGAGGAUGCGAGCGUUAUCCGGAUUCAUUGGGUUUAAAGGGUGUGUAGGCGGACUUUUAAGUCAGUGGUGAAAUCUCUCGGCUCAACCGAGAAACUGCCAUUGAUACUGGAAGUCUUGAGUUUAGGUGAAGUGGGCGGAAUAUGUCAUGUAGCGGUGAAAUGCAUAGAUAUGACAUAGAACACCGAUAGCGAAGGCAGCUCACUAAUCUAUAACUGACGCUGAUGCACGAAAGCGUGGGUAGCGAACAGG
This 253-nucleotide ribosomal RNA is filed under the name uncultured bacterium. Its description in RNAcentral is "partial 16S ribosomal RNA". It matches the Rfam family "Bacterial small subunit ribosomal RNA", at positions 524 to 776 of the family's 1533-position model. The record is from RNAcentral.